CAUGCUAUAACUUUUGAUAGGUAUUGUUAUUUACAUUAAUGAUUUAGUUGUUUGAAUCAACUUAGUAUGA
This 70-nucleotide transfer RNA is filed under the name Coreidae sp. EMHAU-2015-Zz052308. Its description in RNAcentral is "tRNA-Val". Lineage: Eukaryota; Metazoa; Arthropoda; Insecta; Hemiptera; Coreidae. The record is from RNAcentral.